Molecule: ribosomal RNA, 253 nt
Filed under: uncultured bacterium
Lineage: Bacteria
Description: partial 16S ribosomal RNA
Rfam family: Bacterial small subunit ribosomal RNA
Source: RNAcentral
UACGGAGGGUGCUAGCGUUGUUCGGAAUUACUGGGCGUAAAGCGCGCGAUGGCGGUCUAUGAAGUCUGGUGUGAAAGCCCCCCGCUUAACGGGGGAAGUGCAUUGGAAACCAAUAGGCUUGAGUACGGUAGGGGAUCGAGGAAUUCCUGGUGUAGCAGUGAAAUGCGUAGAUAUCAGGAAGAACACCGGCGGCGAAGGCGUCGAUCUAAGCCGUUACUGACGCUUAGGCGCGAAAGCGUGGGGAGCAAACAGG